Molecule: ribosomal RNA, 426 nt
Filed under: uncultured Sphingobacteriales bacterium
Lineage: Bacteria; Pseudomonadati; Bacteroidota; Sphingobacteriia; Sphingobacteriales
Description: bacterial SSU rRNA
Rfam family: Bacterial small subunit ribosomal RNA
Source: RNAcentral
AUGAUACGCGAGGAACCUUACCUGGGCUCAAAUGUAUGUUGACGUAUUCUGAAAGGGAUACUUCUUCGGACAAUAUACAAGGUGCUGCAUGGUUGUCGUCAGCUCGUGCCGUGAGGUGUCGGGUUAAGUCCCAUAACGAGCGCAACCCCUAUCAUUAGUUGCCAUCAGGUCAAGCUGGGGACUCUAAUGAAACUGCCUACGCAAGUAGUGAGGAAGGUGGGGAUGACGUCAAGUCAUCAUGGCCCUUACGGCCUGGGCUACACACGUGCUACAAUGGUCGGUACAAAGGGUUGCCAAGCCGCGAGGUGGAGCUAAUCCCAUAAAACCGAUCGUAGUCCGGAUCGCAGUCUGCAACUCGACUGCGUGAAGUCGGAAUCGCUAGUAAUCGUGAAUCAGAAUGUCACGGUGAAUACGUUCCCGGGCCUU